GCUGGACGUAUCAGAAGUGCGAAUGCUGACAUAAGUAACGAUAAAACGGGUGAAAAACCCGUUCGCCGGAAGACCAAGGGUUCCUGUCCAACGUUAAUCGGGGCAGGGUGAGUCGGCCCCUAAGGCGAGGCUGAAAAGCGUAGUCGAUGGGAAACGGGUUAAUAUUCCCGUACUUGGAUAAACUGCGAUGUGGGGACGGAGCAGGUUAGGUUAUCGCACUGUUGGAUAUGUGCGUUUAAGUUGGUAGGUGAGAAGUUUAGGCAAAUCCGGACUUCUAUAACACCGAGAGAUGAUGACGAGGCUCUACGGAGCUGAAGUAACCGAUACCACACUUCCAGGAAAAGCCACUAAGCUUCAGGUUUAUCUAAACCGUACUGAAAACCGACACAGGUGGUCAGGUAGAGAAUACUCAGGCGCUUGAGAGAACUCGGGUGAAGGAACUAGGCAAAAUAGCACCGUAACUUCGGGAGAAGGUGCGCCGGCGUAGAUUGUAGUCCCUUGCGGGCGAAGGUUGAACCGGUCGAAGAUACCAGCUGGCUGCAACUGUUUAUUAAAAACACAGCACUCUGCAAACACGAAAGUGGACGUAUAGGGUGUGAUGCCUGCCCGGUGCUGGAAGGUUAAUUGAUGGUGUAAUCGAAAGAGAAGCUCCUGAUCGAAGCCCCAGUAAACGGCGGCCGUAACUAUAACGGUCCUAAGGUAGCGAAAUUCCUUGUCGGGUAAGUUCCGACCUGCACGAAUGGCAUAAUGAUGGCCAGGCUGUCUCCACCCGAGACUCAGUGAAAUUGAAAUCGCCGUGAAGAUGCGGUGUACCCGCGGCUAGACGGAAAGACCCCGUGAACCUUUACUAUAGCUUGACACUGAACAUUGAAUUUUGAUGUGUAGGAUAGGUGGGAGACUUAGAAGUAGUCACGCCAGUGAUUAUGGAGUCGACCUUGAAAUACCACCCUUUAACGUUUGAUGUUCUAACGAAGAUUACGAAACGUGGUCUCGGACAGUGUCUGGUGGGUAGUUUGACUGGGGCGGUCUCCUCCCAAAGAGUAACGGAGGAGCACGAAGGUUUGCUAAUGACGGUCGGACAUCGUCAGGUUAGUGCAAUGGUAUAAGCAAGCUUAACUGCGAGACAGACAAGUCGAGCAGGUACGAAAGUAGGUCAUAGUGAUCCGGUGGUUCUGAAUGGAAGGGCCAUCGCUCAACGGAUAAAAGGUACUCCGGGGAUAACAGGCUGAUACCGCCCAAGAGUUCAUAU
RNAcentral lists this ribosomal RNA (1249 nucleotides) under human gut metagenome. RNAcentral's name for it is "bacterial LSU rRNA". It matches the Rfam family "Bacterial large subunit ribosomal RNA", at positions 1272 to 2505 of the family's 2925-position model. The record is from RNAcentral.